UACGUAUGGGGCAAGCGUUAUCCGGAUUCAUUGGGCGUAAAGAGCGCGUAGGCGGCUUGGUAAGUCAGAUGUGAAAACUGGGGGCUCAACCCGCAGCCUGCAUCUGAAACUUCCAGGCUUGAGUCUGGUAGAGGAAAGUGGAAUUCCUAGUGUAGCGGUGAAAUGCGCAGAUAUUAGGAGGAACACCAGUGGCGAAGGCGGCUUUCUGGGCCACGACUGACGCUGAGGCGCGAAAGCUAGGGGAGCAAACAGG
Molecule: ribosomal RNA, 253 nt
Filed under: uncultured bacterium
Lineage: Bacteria
Description: partial 16S ribosomal RNA
Rfam family: Bacterial small subunit ribosomal RNA
Source: RNAcentral